GACAGAGGGUGCAAACGUUGUUCGGAAUUACUGGGCGUAAAGCGCGUGUAGGUGGUGGGGCAAGUCGGAUGUGAAAGCCCAGGGCUCAACCCUGGAAGUGCAUUCGGUACUGCUUCACUGGAGUCCCGGAGAGGAUGGUGGAACUCUCGGUGUAGAGGUGAAAUUCGUAGAUAUCGAGAAGAACACCGGCGGCGAAGGCGGCCAUCUGGACGGUGACUGACACUGAGACGCGAAAGCGUGGGGAGCAAACAGG
Molecule: ribosomal RNA, 253 nt
Filed under: uncultured bacterium
Lineage: Bacteria
Description: partial 16S ribosomal RNA
Rfam family: Bacterial small subunit ribosomal RNA
Source: RNAcentral